RNAcentral lists this ribosomal RNA (253 nucleotides) under uncultured bacterium. RNAcentral's name for it is "partial 16S ribosomal RNA". It matches the Rfam family "Bacterial small subunit ribosomal RNA", at positions 524 to 776 of the family's 1533-position model. The record is from RNAcentral.
GACAGAGGAUGCAAGCGUUAUCCGGAAUGAUUGGGCGUAAAGCGUCUGUAGGUGGCUUUUCAAGUCCGCCGUCAAAUCCCAGGGCUCAACCCUGGACAGGCGGUGGAAACUACCAAGCUGGAGUACGGUAGGGGCAGAGAGAAUUUCCGGUGGAGCGGUGAAAUGCAUUGAGAUCGGAAAGAACACCAACGACGAAAGCACUCUGCUAGGCCGACACUGACACUGAGAGACGAAAGCUAGGGGAGCAAAUGGG